AACUACACUAUCGAUGUAUAGAUUCACCCGCGAGAUGAUGUGGCUGUUUCACCUAGGACGAGGACAUGGCAUCCUAUUACCAGCCAUCGCACGAAAUUAAUAUGAUGCCACGUCCUCAUACUAUAGAUGAAACAACCACGUUGUCAUAUCACAAGUGAAUCCAUUCAUCGAUAGUGUGGUU
Molecule: non-coding RNA, 181 nt
Organism: Oryza barthii
Lineage: Eukaryota; Viridiplantae; Streptophyta; Magnoliopsida; Poales; Poaceae
Source: Rfam